ACAGAAAGGCAUGAUUUUCUAAACUUCCACUUUGGUGCUUCUCAUAUGAUGUUCUAUUUCCAGGCUUAAAUUCAUGCUUCAAUAUGGUUGCCAGGAAACUGGAAACACUGGUUGUUGCAGGCACAAAGUACCUUAAAGACAGAGGUAUGCCUAAGAAUGUUGCUGAUAAUCUAUUUUUCUACAACAGUGAUGAGGGAUGAGUUCAGCAAUGACUGCUUGUUGUCAGCUAUCUCAUGGGCCAAUAUUGAUAAAGCCCUGUAAGU
RNAcentral lists this long non-coding RNA (263 nucleotides) under Homo sapiens (human). Its description in RNAcentral is "HSALNT0011022". The record is from RNAcentral. Lineage: Eukaryota; Metazoa; Chordata; Mammalia; Primates; Hominidae.